This 116-nucleotide ribosomal RNA is filed under the name Escherichia coli. Lineage: Bacteria; Pseudomonadati; Pseudomonadota; Gammaproteobacteria; Enterobacterales; Enterobacteriaceae. The record is from RNAcentral. RNAcentral also lists the same sequence under 1 other name.
CCUGGCGGCCGUAGCGCGGUGGUCCCACCUGACCCCAUGCCGAACUCAGAAGUGAAACGCCGUAGCGCCGAUGGUAGUGUGGGCUCUCCCCAUGCGAGAGUAGGGAACUGCCAGGC